CUUUCUGUCCCACUUAAGCUCCCUCAAUCUCCUUCAAAUCCUCCCUCUCCCAUCAGCUAGUUCCGAGCGGACGGCCCAAAGAGGAUGGAGUGGGAUUAAAGGGUUUUUAAAACAUAAAAUAAGGAGUUUUGGGUAAUUUGGCAGCCUGAAUCCCAGUUUUCAGGCCUGUACUGCUACAUGGCCGCAUACAAGACAUCAGAGGGUGAUGCUUCCACCCAGAUAAAUAGCAGUCGAGAGCGAGAGCGGAAAUCCUCUUCUCAUUUUUCACUUUUUGUGUUUGUUUUUUGUUUUUUUAUUCUAUUUAACCAGACUAAUCUGGUCUCCGAUGAAUUUUUAUUGUUUCUUAUGCCGAGCCAAUAAGGCUUAGAGACACCGAUUCGAGCUUCAUGCCUGCGUUGUGCUGGCAAAGAAAAAAAAGAUCGGGCGAGUGAGCGAGAGGAGUACAAUGACUUGGUGGCAUCAUUGUCGGUUGUACUAAAUCCAGCACUGCGCAGGGAGAGAGGCAAAGAUGCGGAUAUCUGGAAAACAUCCCGACACACAUCUGUUGACGUAUCCUUUCAUUCUCGCAUACACACACACACACACACACACACAGCGCACUCAGAGAGACGCGUUCCAGCUCUUGGACUCGUGACACUUUUUGCAUCUGUGCAUGCAUAGCGAUGUGUAUGUGUUUGUUCGCUUGUUUGUAUGGUGUGGGCUGCGCCCCGUAGGCCUCAUUUACUCCUCCUCCCUCGAUUCCUUGUAAGCACCAUGCAUCACUAAAGGAAAUGGGGAAAAAAGCACAGAAAUUGGCCAUCGCCAGUCGCCGCAGAAAACCUAAAUCGCACAGCCCACAAUACGACUGAUAACAUUCACGCUAUCUUACAUGCUUUCUGGAUUUGACGGCAUGCUGCACAGUGGCAGCGUGUUUUUUGGAAUACCCAUGAAUCCCCAGGAAAGGCCUGACUUCCACACGUAGCUUCACCCUGUUGAGGGUCGGACCUGAUGUGUGAAAGAGAUCCAGGUCCGUCUGCUGUGAAUGCUAAUACACAUUGCUAUUAGUGUGAACAGGAUAGUAAUGCUGGAUCCUGUGAAGCAUUCAUACCUCCAUCUUUCUGAAUGCAGACGACCAGAAUAUUUCCAUAUAGCAUUCAGGGUUAGCAGUGCACAUGUAAACCUGCUCUUGAGUCUGACUGUAUAGGGUAAGAGAGAUUUCUUUAGUCAGUCAUGUAUGAAAAACAUGAUUCUCGUCUCUUUUUGUCUGCAAUAGGGCUGGAGAAACGUCAACCUCUGAGGCUACAGAUGACUUCUCGAACACCCUCACAAGUCAUCGCACCUGGCCUUGGAAACACACAGAAAUCAACCUUGUUGACCGGAACACCCAGGUGUCUGAGGAGGGGAAACUGAAAGUUAUUCAUUUUGGUUUAGUGUAAAUAGACAUAUUUUGUACAAU
Long non-coding RNA from Sinocyclocheilus grahami, 1435 nucleotides. RefSeq lists it as uncharacterized. NCBI's taxonomy places the organism in Eukaryota, Metazoa, Chordata, Actinopteri, Cypriniformes, Cyprinidae. The record is from RefSeq and is a predicted model, not a curated record. The transcript is spliced from 3 exons.